Molecule: ribosomal RNA, 407 nt
Filed under: uncultured prokaryote
Description: bacterial SSU rRNA
Rfam family: Bacterial small subunit ribosomal RNA
Source: RNAcentral
UGGGGAAUAUUGCACAAUGGGCGAAAGCCUGAUGCAGCAACGCCGCGUGCGGGAUGACGGCCUUCGGGUUGUAAACCGCUUUCAGCAGGGACGAAGCGCAAGUGACGGUACCUGCAGAAGAAGCACCGGCUAACUACGUGCCAGCAGCCGCGGUGAUACGUAGGGUGCGAGCGUUGUCCGGAUUUAUUGGGCGUAAAGAGCUUGUAGGCGGUUAGUCGCGUCGUAAGUGCAAACUCAGGGCUUAACCCUGAGCCUGCGUUCGAUACGGGCUGACUAGAGGAAGGUAGGGGAGAAUGGAAUUCCCGGUGGAGCGGUGGAAUGCGCAGAUAUCGGGAGGAACACCAGUUGCGAAGGCGGUUCGCUGGACCUUUCCUGACGCUGAGAAGCGAAAGCGUGGGGAGCAAACA